CUUUGAGGCCAAAUCUUGCCCUUCUUACUUGGACAAAUCUCCCACUGAAGCCAAUUAGUUGUACUGGAGUUUAGCCUAGAUAAAAUUUUGGAUUGCAGACAUGCAACAUAAUUACAAGACAUUUGUUUUAAACCUAUUUGAAAUUAGAGUCUUACAGGGAGAGUAAGAGGCAGAUAAAUACCUUCAAACAUGAAAUGUUGAGGCAUGUUUUGAGUGAGUGCAGAAGAAUACGAAAGCAAAUAAUGUCUGGAAAGCAAAGAUUAUGAAUGCAGUAAACAACCAAGAAACUACAUGGCAUCGCAUCUAAGGAGUAUAGGAAGUAGGAAGGUCAUGGAAGACCAUCCCAGGGAGUUAAUCUCUUGGCCAACCAAAUUGUUAGCAUAAACCACCAGGUACUGUAGAUAAAUACAGAAAUGGGAACAGUUUGUCACAGUUGGACAGGACGCGUGUUCUGUGUUAACAUCAGAUUUGCUGUUCCUGAAAUUACACGGGUGUAAUUUUCUGCUGUUUGCUGAUAGAAACUGAGAAACAAGAAGCUGAGAUAAUAGAAAACAGUUCACACUAAUCAACUAAAGAAAUUAGUGCCUUGAUGCUUCAAGAUUUUUAAUCUAUUCAAUGCCCUUAGCAUCCUUUGAAAAUAUUACUGCCUCAAUAGGCAAGUGCAAAACAAUGGGAGGUAAUGCGCAGCAACAGAAGAUGACAGGGACUCACACAUCGUUCUGAUCAUUUCACAAAGUGAGUCCUGGUUUAAUGCUUUACACUGCAUGUUUGAGUUUGCCAUGUCACUUUGACCAUGCCAAAAUAUUUAUGAUAGAAUUAUAGACUUGAAAAUGAAGUUCUAGCCCAUCAGAAAUAGCUGAAACAUCUCUCUUCCAUUUAAUUCCUCUGAAUUUUGUUUUGGGAUUCCUGUCAGUGCUUACUAUGGUGCCUCUCUGCUUGUUUACUAUACAGAUUUACCAAGCUGCUCUGGAUUUGAUUUACAGAUCUCCCUUAUUCCACAGAACUCAUUUUGUCAAUUGAUAUCAGUGUAGUUCUCUUUUUUGUCCUUAAUGUCCCUGGAUUUGUCCAGUCAGUUCUGCUGCACACUACGAAUAUGGGGAUUUCCUUGCUUUCCCUGCUUUGCAGCGUCCUCUCUGCUUUCCGUUCCCUCCUACCAUUCUUGUGAGUGCCCAGUUAGGAUUUCCCUUUUCUCUCAAGUUUUUCUGGGAAAGGCUUUCCAACUAUUUUUUAGGAAGAAUCUUGCUCCUGAGCAGGCCUGGCUAGCAGCUGGACAAUCCACCCCCUUAAGGGGUAACAGUGACUGCUGUUAAAUGAGCUUUCUGACCUGGCAGGUCAGAGAUUAAGAGCAAGUUUGCAGGAUAUACAGCAAGUCAAGCUUCCUUCCCACAGGGUGAGUUGGGCAAGUGUCUUAACUCUUAUAGGACAGAUAGAGGCAUUUGCUAAAUAGUGUUUUAGUUACAGGUAAAUUUGAUAACUCUUUUUUUUGGACUAUUCAUAAAUGGAGAGGAAGCAAACCUAAUGGCUACAUCAUCGUUUUUAUCAUUCAAGGUUUAUGCUUCAACUAAUGUACUUGACAGCGAUCUUGUGUGCAGUAGAAGCUACUCUACUCUCUCUACAUUGCCAGCAUUUUUAUAUUGUUACUCAUUUUCUUGCAGUUGUGCAUAAUAGGACUGAUUUUGAAUUUGUGUGUUUGAGAGAUACAGAGAUAAAUACAGACAUGACCAGCAUUAUUUUUUUUUCUCCAGGACUGCUUAUGUUCAUACGUAGUUUGAGGUGCUAUCACUAAGUUACACUGCAGUGGGACCACUGCCCAAAUGCCUGGAUGGAAGCACAUUUCAGAUAACUCAGGCAUGGAUCUUAACCUGAAAAAAGCAGGAAAGCUCUACUGGAAGCAGGGAGCUAUGAUGAUUAGUGUCAGCUGAAGAGCCAUUCCAUAUUUCUUGUUCUUGCCAUUUCUGUCUUCCUACUUGGAAAGAUCAGAGGUUCUGACUUGCCAUCUCUUCCCAUGCCUCUCUUUGCAGACAAACAUAAGGGAAGGUGUUUCAACCCAAAUAAUGAACUGUGGCAGAAUACUUUGGAUUUAUUAUUAUUUAUCUGAAUUCAUUUUUUUUAAGCUUAUGAGUAAGAACAAAGUAGAUAGAAAACAAAUCGAGCAGAGAUCUGUGAGUUUUGGCUACAAGCAACUUGCAAACUGUGAGGAAUAAUAAUAAUAAAAAAAAUAAUCUUGCUGAUUUAGAAAGAAAAACACCAUCUCCACAGGCACUUCCCCCAGCUGUGGGCUAGAAGAACAACAGAUAAUCAGCAGGCAGAAAUGAAGGUCCAUGCUGAGGAUAAGAACAUAGCCUGGCUGUAAAACAGCCAAAGAGAGGUGGUUUGAUGGCUGAUAGCUACCCGAGAGCUGGGGAGCCUUUCAAUGUGGGACAGCAAAUGAGCCAAGAAUGCAUCUCUGAGCUGAUUUCAUUGGUCCUGUUCAAAAUCACUGAAAAUGUCUGUUCUCAUUUUCCAGUAAGUUUUAUGGGCUCCCUCCUGCUCUAUCGCUGCUAUGUGAGCCAAGCUUUUGUUUCUUGCCUGUAGGGUUUGAGAUUUGGCUGCCCAAGGUGAGGACCUAGCAGUCAGAAGAUAAACACCUCUGACUUGACAGAGGCCAGAUGGGACAUCUGUAUUUCCACUGAGAGAGUGAUUUCUAUUUAUGAAAAUAACAAAACCUACCUGUUGCCCAUGCUUUAGAGGAAAGAGAAUAACCAGUGUGUAUCAGACAGCAAAGUGGCACGUGAGUGACGAGCACCUUAGCAAAGGAGUUGAUAUUUCCUUCUGAAGAAGGAGAAGAAAUGGCAGCAGAGGGUUUGGCCAACUCAUCACGUAAGCUUCUCUUACAGUAGGAAUGAAAAAUUCAUUUAAAGGCUGCUUUCUCCAGCUCUGUAGUGGAGAACAUCUUCUCACUCUGUCUCCAUAUUUCUGCAUGGUGCUACUUCUGGUUUACAGAAAUUACCAAACAUGGUCAGAGCAGCUGUCACCCAUUUCUGAGAGCAGCCAGCGCCAAAAACUUGAGAGGUGAUUACAAAGCCAGCAGCCCAGGGAAAUCAUUCUCCCACUUUGCUAUUAAGCAGAGGUAGGUUUGUAUUCUGAAACAUGUUUUGAAGGAGAAAGGGUGUUACCAUGAAGUUACAGCUCAGAUGUCCUUGUUGCUCACAUGUGCAACAACCAGCUGCUUUGUGCUGCAGGAUUUAGGCAUACCUUGGGUGAGGAACUUAGACCAUUUCUUUGGAUACCCAUUGCCCAUCUUGUGAUUGCCAUCCUGCUUGCAACUUGCACAUUUUUGCUUACAUGCAUGGCUGCUUAACCUGGCCAGCAGAGGUUUUCCCACACAUCUCUGCUCCAAGCUUGUAGUAGAAGCAGUGUAAAGCUGAAGUAGCACGUCUGCUGAGGUGUAAGCCAUUUGGUAUAUCACACGAGGGAAAGCUUUACAAAGUGCUGGGAUAUAACAGGGCAGAGGGAAAUCAAUGGCCUAAAAGUAGGGCUCCUGAAGGAAAAAGAACAGUCUCACUUUCCAUCCUGUCAUCCACAUGUUAAGAUCAUAAGCGACCGAAAGCAGGUAAAAGCCCUGACAUUAAUCCCCUGUCAAAGAAUAGGAUUCCCAGUCAAGGAAAUGGAGGGGAUCAAAGUAAUGUAAUCUUCACCACGGCUGACUACAGAGAACUUCCAGCAGGGCUCUGAGAGUUUAUUUAAUUGAAGCAUCCUCUGUAGGAUUACUUCAGGUCUCUAGCUUAGCAGAAGAUAAGGUUGAAGGCACAGGUCUAAGCUUCAACAUACGAUUCUGCAAAUACAAAAUCAUAACAAUCCAUAUAGGAUAACGUUGUUGAUAUUCCAAUGGUCUGAAGAUUUAUGAAAAUAUCUUCUAUUUACUCAGCUGGAAACAAUCCUGUUCUUCUGGAGUUUUGUUACCCCAUAAAGCAUUCAGAGGAGACCCCAUAAUCAUUUCAAAGUCAGAAAUAUUAAGUGGAAUAACAAGGAUAAACCCUAUUCGCAUUGACUUUGAAGCACAAGAAACAUGUCCCCGUGGCCAUAGAAAAUUAUUGUGCUUUGAGCUGGGGUGGGAAGAAGCAGCUCUCGCACAGUUGUUUCAGGUGGUAGAAAGUCCAUAUUUCUUCUAACACAAAGGAGCCUGGUUUAAAAAUAAGUUAAAAUUGAGCACUGAAAUAGAUUACUAAAUUCCCACUGAAGUUCACUGAAGCCUUUCCCCAUGAAGCAGAUGAGAAAAGGAUCCAGACUUCUAGGGACUGGAUGAAAGGAUAAUGGCAGCAUGCUGCUGCCAUACAGCAAUAGCUGCAUUCUCCAGCCACCAGGAGCAGGGCACAAUCUCAGUGUCUCCCCUUUUGUAGCCCAGGGUAAAACUGUCUCCAGGAAGUAAAACCUCCUGUCUGCAUGACACUCACCUGAACACAGCUCUGCCUUUGCCUCUGAAAGGCAUCCCUGGAAAAGCAGUGCCUUUCCUUUCAACCAGGAACUUCACUUUCAGCAAGCAAUCUGCCUCCUGUCCUACUGCAGUGUUCAAAAUCUCACAAAGGCUGAGUUGCUGAAGCUAAAGCCUGCAAUCUGAAGCCCAGUUUUCCAGGAAGAGGCAAAUGAUGAGCUGUGGUUAUCAUAAUCACCUUGGUGUGUGUGUGAGUGAGCGAGAGGGCUGCUGAGCCAGAGGAGAAAAGGGAGCAAAGAUAGAGAAAAUGAAGAAAAAUGGCUGGGGCAGCACAGCAGCAGUUAAAACAUAGAACUGACAUUACUAAUAAUCACAAAGCAAAGAAAUAACAAAGCUAGAGGAAAAAAAAUUCCUGGACUCUACAAUGAAGUCUCUGCAGCUAGAACAACUUAUUUUCCCUAAGCAGUAGGGCUUUCACUUUGAGCCCACUGAUGAGUUCUGAUGCAGAAACAAGGGCAGCAGGAUUUGGGAAACCUGGACAGACAGCUUUCCUGCUCUGACACUCCUUAGAAAGGUCCCAGUAAGUGAGUGAGUGUCUAUGGAGGGAUUUGUCAGAGGUUGGGCCUGGACAGCCACAAGUCAAGGCCAGCAGGCCCAUGGCUGUGGCAGUGACCCCUUGGUUCAUCUCCAGUCACUGGACUCUGGUUUCUUCAUUUUACACCUCUUGCUACCUGCUGUGGGAAUGAGUGCCCCUCCAUACUGUUGCAUGAUAGAACCAUAGGUGCCAGUGUGAAAUGCACAACAAAUACCACUGUUGGUCUUCAGUCUGUGACAGACAGUACAGGGAGCAGGAGAAAAUACCUCAAGUAUAGGAUGUAAAUGUGUCUCAGGCCUUCCUCCUGGAUCCUGGCUCAUAGCUUCCUUCAAAAAGCCCAGAGCAGCACUGCUGGUCUCUGCAGGCUGCGCGUAGGGAUGAGAAAGCAACACUGAGUGCAUAUACCACUAGAAACCCGUGCUGGGUUACCUGGUUAUUGCUGCAAGGGCCCACGAGGUGGCAAUAGCAGGACACUGCUCCCUGCUCAGACACAGCUCCCACGUAGCAUUUUGGUCUGUCUUUUUGCCAUUGAAACAACGAAGAUUUUAUUAACGAUCGGGGUGCAAAAAUGUUGCUCACAGCUGACAGUUUCUACUCGGUCAAUCUCACACUGUGAAAUAAGUGCCUGGUACAUCACUAGUAAGCAAGCACUACAAAAUUUACUGAAAGCAUUUGGUGCCAGCUGGGAGGACUGGCAUAUACGUGGUUGUCGCCGGUAUGGCUUUGACGUGAUGUGCAUAACAAUCGUGCUGUCUUCCCUGGCACAAGAGCUGUACCUGAGAGUAGGGAGGGACAAUUUUUAAUCAUCUCUGCUUUGCUGCUUGCACUUUUUUUGACUCGUUUAUUUAAACUACUAAUUUGUCAAGCCACAGAGCUUGCAGCUGCCUGUGAACGAAGCUCCAGUCUCACCUGGAUCUUUAAUGCCUGCAAGGCAAAUAAGGCUGAUAAAAUUCCCAGGUGAUGACGGUUACUCUGACAUCCCAUCUCAGGAGACAGGUGGUCCACCUCAAGUAUAUAAAGGAUCCUCCUUGCUAACAAUAAAAAUCAGACCAAGCCAAGGAUUUGGGAGUGCCUCGAAGCAGCUUUCUGUAAGAAAACCUACCCACCAACAACUUUUACAAGGGCAGAAGGACGAGCUGCUUGGCUGCUGUCUGUGUGCUGGAAAAGACAAGGUAUGUGACAAGCUGCUGUGUGAAUGGGGGCUGUAUCAUUCUGACAGAUAUGAUGUACAGAAGUAUGGACUGAACAUUCAGUUUUGUAGUCCGAGAGCAGUACCUUGAAACACUUCCAGAACCACCACAGUGCACUGUCAGGAAGCACUGCUGAAAAGUGCUGCCGGUAGGAAGCCGGUCCCAGACUUGUUUAAUGUAAAUAAGGAGUGUGUUGUCCCAGGUUGAAGUAGUCACUAAGUGGUGUCAAAUGCUGAACUGAAAUUGUGCUUUUUAUUAAAUACAGAGCAGAGAGAAAAGACAAGUCAGACCAAAAUCUAAGAGCUGUAGGAGUUAUCCCCCAAGCACUAUUAUCAGAGUACAUCUCAGGGUCUGUAUCUCCUCCUUUACCACUGUUGUAGAAGUCUUUCUCCACUGCUAGGAGGAAACUUUGGGUAAGGGCUCAAUAGCAGGUGUGAUAAAGAACCUAGUAGCUCCAUAGCUUGUGCUAAGCCCUGGCUGAAAUGACCCACUGAGCCAAGCAAACAGCCUGUGUGCAGCCACACUUGUCUCAACUGUCAGCAGGAAAAUGGGAUCUGCUGGUAUAAACAAUCGUCUUUAAUCCUUUUCAACACAACCCUUGUGGUUAGGCUGCGCUCAGCUAUAGCUGUGUAGAGAGCUGGGAGCUGAUUUGUUUUGAUGGGAAUUAAGCAUUUUCCUAAGAUCUCUCCAUGUGUUGCUGUGCUCAAACACUGUAGAUCAGAGAUGGCAGCCUCCCUGGUUCCCAUCUGACCCCAUCUCUUCCCCAGGCUUCUCUGUCAGAGCUGGGAGGUAGCUGGGUUUCACUUUGUCCCAGCAGAGACUGAAGUGUCAAGGUUGCCUGGUCAGUACGUGCUGCCUAUGGAGGUUUCCAGGGGCUGGUACACAGCUGCUUACAGUUUUUUUUCCAUCACAGUUCACAGAUGGUGCUAGGACUCCUAAUUGCCACCAGGUUGACCAAAACACAUCUCCUCUCAGUCCCUGUAGGAGUCUAGCUACUAUUGCCCCCAAGUGCUUCCAAGUUUUUUUUGCCCUUAUGAGUAAAUACUUGCAACCAAGCUGAAGUCAAUUGUCAGCUCUGCUGGCAGAAAGGAUUUAGCAUCAGAGAAGGAUCUUGGUUUUGUUCUUGAUUCACUGUAUGACUUUACAAGUGAUAACAAUUUUGGCCAGAAAUGAUAUGAGAUGAGGUAUUGGUAGUUGUUGAUUAAAAAGCAAGAUGUGUCUCAAUCUACAGAAGGGUCACUCUCUCACACUGGCUCUCUGACUACUUCUUACCCAAGAGACUCUUGAGCAGACUUUGCUGGCAUGGGCAGUCAGGUUUCCUUGCUUGCUGUCCAUAAAAAGAGAGCUCUUACUGGCACUGGAAUGGUCACAGCACCUCAAGCCUGCCCUGCUCCUUUGUUUCAUUAGAAUAAAGAUGUUUCUGUUGCUUCAGGUCACGUCAGGAGCCCAAAACAUAGGACGUUUCCCAAGUAGAUGCUUAAAGUGACCCCUUGGAUAGACAAACAAAUACAUGACAGUAGUUGACCAAAAGCCACAGUUUGCAUCUCCAGGCUGUGCAGCAUGUACUAAAGGCUGUGAGAUGGCAUGCUGGAGGCUGUCUGGCCAGGACUGUCUACAGCUCCCUCCCUGCUGGCAGUGCUCCGCCUUCUGGGACAGUUCUGGGGAAUUUGCUGACAUGAUUGAGGGUGAUGGAGAGGGAGCACAGGAGCUGACUUGUCUGGAGUGGGGAACUGCAGCAGAGCCAAGUCUGGAGAGAACACGGGCAAAAUUGUAUUGCUGAUUUUGUUCUUAAAGCUUAGUUCCAGGCUGCUGGAGGUUUUAGGCUGUGAACUCUGCACUGCUUCUGAGAGCAGUGUUACAGGGAUGCUUGUGCACAGCUCUGCACCCAAAAUGAGAGUAAUCAAGAAAACUUGCACUAACGUGGGUUCAUUCUAGUAGGGAAAGGUAACACAAUGCUGUUACGUUGUUUGUCCCAUCACCACUCAUACAUGUGAAGGGCCUUGAGAGCAACUUGAAUAUGAGAUAGAAACAGAAGAUGACAGACAUCAAGUACAGUGAUAAUAUGAGCACAGGGGCUUGGGAUUGUUUCACUUCCAGAAGAGAGGAGAGGUGAUUUACUAACCUAAGCUGGGGGGAUGGUGGGGCUUGGCCUUGGAGCACAGUCCUUCCUCAGCUCUGUGCCACCAUCAAGUAGUGUUUGUGCUUGAACGAUGUUGUCUUGGCACACCCCACUGGCUCAUAUCCUGCUGUGUUCUUCCACAGCCCUGGUGAACUGCAAAAGGGGAGCAGGGGAAAGUGCCUCAGUGGCUGGAGGAGAGCAGGCUCCUGCCUGUGACCCACUUUGGUGCCCCCACCAGAGCACUUGUUGAUGGCCCCUGACUCCUGGUAAUCCCUGCUCAUGGGAAUAUUGAGUUUUCUGUUUGCUUUGUAAGUGUAAUUGGCCAAGACGCUGUGAAAGGAGGAGAGAGUGCUGUAAGGAGAGGUGUUAAAGAAAUAGGAAAACAUUUAAGAGUGCUUUAAGUCAAUUUCCCUGAUUAGUACUUUGAUGAUGGAAAGAAGCUACUUUAAAUCUGUGCAGUUGCUCUGGGCCACCACAUCCAGGUCCCUGUACACAUGCACACAGAUGGCAGCAGCAAGCCCUUGGCAUUACCCCUAUUUCUCUUCCAAACCACGCACUGUAGUCUUGAGUUACAAAUCUCCUCUGGCUUCUCGCUCUUGCUGCAAGGGAUAUGAGGAGAAUGAAGAACCUCAGACAAAAUAUUUAUUCUGGGGAGUAAUCGGUGCCCAAGGCAGGCAUUGGGCAGAAAGGGAGAUGUCUGAGAAGGACACCAGCUAUGGAUGUAACCAGCUGAGGGACAACCAGGAAAAGAAGAAAGAUGGCAUCUGCAUGAAAGUGUCUGCUGUUAUCAACUCCAAGCAUGCAGAACAUCUCUCUACACAAACACGCACAAAAGAAAUCACAGCAGUUUUGGAGAAAAGAUUGUUUAAAAUAAUCCUGUUGUUGGGACCCUCUUCAUUUGUUCCUGGCCAAUGAGCCUGUAGGCCUCUUGCAGCUCACAUUUCCUAGCCUGUUAUGGGGUCAAACAUGGUGUGAUAACAGUUAAAUGAGAAAUAAGAGUCAUGACUGUGGGAGCUAAGGCCUGGAGAGGAAAAAACCCAAACAAACCAUAAAGCUGAACAAAAGAAAGUGCCAGCUAUUCCCACGUUCCUGAUAACAUCAUCUGAGGUGGCAACACUGGACUUCAUUAAAAGCCUUGCUGAACUUUAGGGUCAGGCUCAAAAAAACGACAGCUCUUUCCUUUGUGCAUUUGUUCCUGCGUGCCUGGGGGGUGACGUGUGGCUGAUUAUUAUUGCCUGGGUGAUGGCUAUCUGUACGCCGAUCUCAGAUACCAAACAGGCCCUGGGCUAGCCUCGUCUCCAUGUUUCAAAAUCCCAGCAUGGUCUGUGUGGAGGUGGUGGUACACUUACAUUUCCAAUAUAUUUACACUGCAUUUACAUUUACAUUUCCUUACAUAAAGUGGUUCCCACACUGGAGGGAGCAGAUUUUCCAGUAUCCUGCAGGUGUGUUAUUUUUUCUCUCCCCUGCCUUUUGUCACCCACAAUGGCAUGUGAGCAAUGUGAUUUUCUGCUCCUGACAAUGUUGUGCCCUGAUCCACCCCAGAUAUCUGUACCAAGGCAAGAAGAUGGUGCAGGAGGCCUUUUGCAGGCAGUAGUGGCACCAGUGCUGUACUUGCUGUUUGUGAGACAGGUGUACAUCAACAAAAGCAAACUCUCUCUGACUAAAGGGAACCUUUGCCAGACUGUGUAUCUUUCUCAAACUCCAUGCUAGAAGAAAGAAAGGACCAGGACUGCUGUCACAGAUUUACCUUAACUGAAACAGGCUGUGUUCUCCUGAACAUACACAAGUGUCAGAGGCUCAGCUCUGUCCCUGGUCAUCUGUCAGUCACUUCUUUCUGCUCCUUAUCCCCAGGAGCUCAGGAAUGGGCUGUCACUUUUCAACUGGACUUUGUAGAAGAGUCCCAGAGGGAUUUUUCUUGCAUGAGUUCAGGAGAAUUCAUGCAGUGGAAGGAGAGUCCUUAUAAGAGCCUCUGCUGAGGACUACCUGGAUGGUAUUACACAGUGAAGAAUCCACUGUGGGAGCACACUGAUAAAACACCCUCUGUCCAGAGAAAAAACUUUGAUUAAACCUCUAGCUGACUGUGAAAAACUGAUCUGUAGGAAACCUAUUUUUUACAUGAAACAUAAAGCUACUUGUAUUUAUUUAUUUGACUGAUUGUUUUAGUUGAUAAAUUAGCUUUUCUCAAUUCCUAGUUGUCAUUAAACUUUUUUUAUCUGGAGGGCAUCGACAUAAAUAAUAGCAGCACCCAUUAAGCCUGUUCCUGAUCAGCCUGGCUGGACUCUGCAACAAUAGGGCAGGUGCAGCUGGGAAGGAAAACACCUCUGCCCAAAGGCUGCAGCAAGGUGAGGAGCUACGGGGAGAGUGGGGAAGUCAUCAGAGUGUACUGGGCAGGAAAGCAUUGCCUGCAAGGCUGUCAUUGCCCCUCAGGACCAGGACAAGAAGGGUUUAGAGAGGGGUGCCUGGAGAGAAGGCUGAAUAACAGCCAAGUUAACCCUUCACAUGCUGGCAUUUUCCAGGCGGUGAGCCAAAUGACUGCUCAGGAAGAUGUAUAUAACACAUGUCUGCAGUCUCCAAAGGGUUAUUAACUGUGCAAUAAUGGCCAUGAAACUUGGCUUCCUUGAAAUACAUUUAAAAUUGAAAAAAAAAAAAAAAAAAAAAAAAACAUUGGCUUUAGAGGGGGACAGGGUUUUUUUUUCCUAGAAACUGUGGGGCCAAAUGUACUCCCUGAUAUUGAAAGGAGGUGGAUUCCCCCACAAAAAGGGCUGGGGACAGAGAAUAAAUGUAGCCAUUUCAACAGGACUCCAGCUGCCUCCCACCACAUGCAUUAUUGUUAUCAAUAACAAUGUCAAGACAUUUCUGAAAAGCCCAUGGUGUUAAAUUAAUAAAGAAGGUCCGUAUCUCAGUGGGGCUUUGGGAUUUGAAUUCAAUAAAACCACUGCUGCUCCUGAGACAAUUUCCUCUUUUGUUGGAUGGGUACCUUUGCAGGGAUUUGUCCCUCUCUCCUGGUUCCAGCCUUUGCCAACACCAAGGCCUGCCCGUGCUAUUACACCUGUUGCAGCCCCAUGGGCCCCUGCCCAGAGGCUCUGCAUCUUUGUGAUGCUCUGAAGACCAGUUCUACACCAGCGUGGUCUGUGCUGGCCAGCUCAGCCACUGAGUCCUUCCAUGCAGUAUGUUACAGACUUCUUUUUAUUAGUGACCCUCUUCCCCCACACUAUUAAAUUAAUUCUUUCUCUGCAUUAUUAUUUUGGCAGAGGCAUUUGGAAGGUGGGAGAAAGAAUCUACCAAAUGCUUAAGCAAAUCUGCGACCCCCCACUCAAACCUUUUUGAGGGAAAAGACAUGGCACUGACUUCGGUCCCUUAGCAAAUGAAGACAGCUGGUGGUCUGCAUUUAAACGUGGCUGUUCGGCGCUCAGGCCAGGUUUGGCAGCUCACAAAUCAGAUUGCCUCUUGGUUCUCAGGAGUGGAGAAUUGCCACGAGUGGAAGAGCUGAGGGGAAGUUGCUGCCCAUAACUGCUGUGCCAGCAUGGGCUCUAGGCUUGCGGGGAGGCACUGAAGUUGUUGGUUCAGGAGAGAAAUUCAGUUUCUGAGGCUUUAAUGUUAUGUGACAUUAUUGGCAUAUGGCAAGGUGGUCCCAAAUGGUAUUUUUCUCUCAUAUGGAUGGGUUGUGAGCCAGUCCUUUUGCUUUGGUAAUUUAUUUCAUGCUAGAGCAUAGACUGUGUCUUAAAAGAGGCAGGAAAACACAGAGCUAUUAAAUCUCACCUGGUCUCAUGUUAAGAAAGUGAACUGAAGAGUGGGUCCUGGCUUUGCUCAGAUUUUGUCUGCUGGGAACUGGCUGCAGAUACUCAGUUUCACUCUUACUGCUGACCACAGGCAAUGUCCUCCCAGUGCUGCUGCGCUGGCAAGAUGAGUUUUCUUAUGAUUCCUUUUGCCUGGGACUGCCAGAAUGCC
RNAcentral lists this long non-coding RNA (12263 nucleotides) under Gallus gallus (chicken). RNAcentral's name for it is "lncRNA (ENSGALG00010020772.1)". Lineage: Eukaryota; Metazoa; Chordata; Aves; Galliformes; Phasianidae. The record is from RNAcentral.